RNAcentral lists this ribosomal RNA (467 nucleotides) under uncultured bacterium. Its description in RNAcentral is "partial 16S ribosomal RNA". It matches the Rfam family "Bacterial small subunit ribosomal RNA", at positions 28 to 506 of the family's 1533-position model. The record is from RNAcentral.
GACGAACGCUGGCGGCGUGCUUAACACAUGCAAGUCGAACGGAAAGGCCCUGCUUUUGUGGGGUGCUCGAGUGGCGAACGGGUGAGUAACACGUGAGUAACCUGCCCUUGACUUUGGGAUAACUUCAGGAAACUGGGGCUAAUACCGGAUAGGAGCUCCUGCUGCAUGGUGGGGGUUGGAAAGUUUCGGCGGUUGGGGAUGGACUCGCGGCUUAUCAGCUUGUUGGUGGGGUAGUGGCUUACCAAGGCUUUGACGGGUAGCCGGCCUGAGAGGGUGACCGGCCCACUUGGGCCGGAAGUCGGGCCCGCACACCUCCGGGGGGAAGGGGGGGGGAAUUUUCAAAAAGGGGCGGAACGCAUUUGGAGCAACCCGCGGGGCGGGAUGAGGGCCUUCGGUUUGGAACCCGCUUUCCCUUGUAAGGAAGCGUGAGGACCGGAAAGGGAGAAAAAGGCCCCGGCAACCUCCGG